RNA transcript from Trichoplusia ni (cabbage looper), 2390 nucleotides. RefSeq lists it as uncharacterized. The transcript is spliced from 3 exons. The record is from RefSeq and is a predicted model, not a curated record. NCBI's taxonomy places the organism in Eukaryota, Metazoa, Arthropoda, Insecta, Lepidoptera, Noctuidae.
CAUUCCGAUAAGGCUUAUAAACUUCAAGGUCAACCUCAUCUUAUGCUAAUGACCUUCAAAUUUGCAAAACUUGUUUAAAACCGAUCCAGUUCUCAGCGUCGGUUAAUGAUCAAGAGAUAUGAGAAUCUACAUAAUACAUAUAUUAUGAUAAGAAUGUAUUUAUAAAUACCUAUAUUUACUCUUUAUAUAAUUUAAUAUACCCUGAGAAGAGAUUUCGAAACAUAUACAGGAGUCGUUGCUUUUUAUUAAAGUCCAGUCAAUUGUUUAAUUAUUUCGAGUAUAAGUGCAUGAACAAAGUAUUGCCUAGAUCUUUUGAGUAGAGUAGGUACCAUGAAAAGUUGAAAUUUGAGCAAGCCAUCAAGCGGCAUGCAUGCCUCGACUAACUCAUGGGUUCAACCAUUUUUGAGGACGCCCCACAAACCUGGUUAGGUUGUGGGGCGUCCUCAAAAAUGGUUGUGUCCUAUCAACACACGACAUAAUAAAUACUUUUUGUGGCAAUAUCAGGAGACCCAUUCCUAACAGAAUCAAGAUCAGCAAAAGCGCUUAUAUAAAACUAGCUGAUGCACGCGACUUCGUCUGGACGGCUACGAAAGUAUCUAUAAGUUAGGAAUUUUCAAAAACGUUAAUCGUUUUACAGUGCACUCAAUAUCUCCCCGUUUUUGUAACAUAUUCAAUUGCUGUUUUGCUCCUGUUUGUCAUAGCGUGAUGAUAAACAAACAUAUAGCCUUCCUCAAUAAACAAGCUAAGAUUAUAUUGAAUAUUUACGACAAACUGAAAACAAAUUAUAUGAAAUAUCGAACACUGAAAGAUUUUAAAUCGGACUAUCAGUUCCCGAUAUUAGCGCGUUCAAAUAACCAAAUAAACUCUUCAGCAUUAUAAUAUUAAGUGAGACUUUUGACCGGAGUUUGUUUACAAACAUUGUAAAACAAAGUAUUCAUGCAGCAUGAAUCAUUGCAUCACACACAAAAAAAAUCACUUUCUAUCAACGUCCGAAUGACGACAAUGAACAAAUCAUAUGAUUUUAGCAAAUGUUUAAGUUUAACUGGAAUAGUGAUAAAACACAAUGUCACACAAUACAUCAUUAUUAAAAGAUAAAAUAGAGUGAAUCAUACCACAUCCUAUUAUACAAUUUCAAAUAGGAAUUGAAUCAUCAGACUUUCUGACGCUGUCGUGAAACGGGGACAACUUAUUCUAACUUAUUAGGGAAAGAUAAACAGUUGCAGUCAACUAUGUUGAGGUGGGCUUCCAGUUAAACUGGAUGCAGCUUAGUACCAGUGUUUUACGAGGAGCGACUGUCUAUCUGACCUCCUCAACCCAGUUACUUGGGCAACACGAUAUUCUCGAAUAAGAAUUAAGAGCUCUCGAGAGGAGAAGCUCAAACGUCAGAUGAAGACGAAGACGGUAACUUGCAAUGGGCAAAAAAAAGAAUCGAUUUUGCUUCAUCUGAGGAAUCUCUAGUGCCAUCCGUUGGCAGCGUAACGGAUAGAAGCGAAAGUGAUGAUGAAGACGAUUGAGAUGAAGACUUUGAAAAAGAUGAAGAGAAAAUGAAAAGAAUAGGGUUCUGGUGACGAUUCAUCGAGAUGACAAUAGCGAUUCUAGCGAUUACGAAUAAGUCCGUUAAACUUACUGAUUUCUGUCUUUAGAUCUCCUUUUUUAUAUUCCUUUUUUAUUAAUUAAUCUUAUUUCCAUUUUAUCAUCGAUAUUACUUUAUACAAUGUAUUUUUUCACGUACGUGAAAUAAAAUAAUAUGUUCUUAUCUUUUUUUCUCAAGAAUUCUGAGCCUUGAGGUCACCGUACCAAACCCACUGCGCGUAACAUGUCGCGGAUUCGAUCUCCGCUGAGUCUGGGUGUGAUCAUCGAAGAAUACCAUUCUGGUCUGAAAAUUGGUGCGUCCAAAAACAAUUGGCUAUCAUGGAACCCGCUACGAAAAUUAUCAGAGGGUAUCUUACUGUCAGCAUAUUCUUGCAGUCUUUGAAGAGAGUUGCCGCUCUACGCCGCAACUGCUGUCAUAUAGCUUGAAGAUGUGCUGGCAGGAAUAAUGUAGCAAAUAGGAGGAUAAGGAAAGCAGUUCUCGCUUGCUAUAAGCGGACUUAUUUGUUGUCUAACCAAGCGAUUAUCACUGGAAACGAAUAGAGUCUGAAAUAGCUGAUAAACCUUCACAUUCAACAUUAGGAAGAUAACAUUUUUAACUAUAGUCGUAGCUAUGUAAAUUAGCAGAAACGUGAAACAGACCCGAUAAGGAAUUUUGCCAUUGUACUUUUAAACCUUGAUAAAAGCCUGGCAAGCACGAGCCGGACUUAAUCUAGAGUUCCGUACCAUCAAAAAUACCUGAAUAACCAUACUUGGUACUAGAUGAUGGGUUCCCUUUUCCACACAUAAGCUUUAAAUUA